This 344-nucleotide long non-coding RNA is filed under the name Phoenix dactylifera (date palm). Its description in RNAcentral is "long non-coding RNA (PDAC_LNC002305)". The record is from RNAcentral. Lineage: Eukaryota; Viridiplantae; Streptophyta; Magnoliopsida; Arecales; Arecaceae.
UCUUCCAACCCCAUAUGUCUCCAGUUCUACCAUCACAUCAACAGGCAAUCGCUUUCCCCACUUCCUUCUAUUGUAUAGGGUGGAUCGAUCAUAAUUUGCCCCUUUGUAACAGGAGACUUGACAGAAAUUUUCUGAAAGGCUCAGUUCCGUCAAAUAUUAACAGCCUGACAAAUAUCAAUGAACUGUAAGAUAUCUAGUAACCAAUCAAAAUUUAACAAAAAGAAAAUCAGAUAUAGUUGCUAAACUGAAGAGCUUACUGUUUUUCCCUAUUGGCAUCUUUCAGCAAUUUAGCAAACAACCAGUUAAGCGGACCAAUGCCAAAUCUAACUGGGAUGAACUCCCUC